This 1372-nucleotide ribosomal RNA is filed under the name uncultured bacterium. RNAcentral describes it as "bacterial SSU rRNA". It matches the Rfam family "Bacterial small subunit ribosomal RNA", at positions 28 to 1381 of the family's 1533-position model. The record is from RNAcentral.
GAUGAACGCUGGCGGCGUGCCUAAUACAUGCAAGUCGAGCGAACGGACGAGAAGCUUGCUUCUCUGAUGUUAGCGGCGGACGGGUGAGUAACACGUGGAUAACCUACCUAUAAGACUGGGAUAACUUCGGGAAACCGGAGCUAAUACCGGAUAAUAUUUUGAACCGCAUGGUUCAAAAGUGAAAGACGGUCUUGCUGUCACUUAUAGAUGGAUCCGCGCUGCAUUAGCUAGUUGGUAAGGUAACGGCUUACCAAGGCAACGAUGCAUAGCCGACCUGAGAGGGUGAUCGGCCACACUGGAACUGAGACACGGUCCAGACUCCUACGGGAGGCAGCAGUAGGGAAUCUUCCGCAAUGGGCGAAAGCCUGACGGAGCAACGCCGCGUGAGUGAUGAAGGUCUUCGGAUCGUAAAACUCUGUUAUUAGGGAAGAACAUAUGUGUAAGUAACUGUGCACAUCUUGACGGUACCUAAUCAGAAAGCCACGGCUAACUACGUGCCAGCAGCCGCGGUAAUACGUAGGUGGCAAGCGUUAUCCGGAAUUAUUGGGCGUAAAGCGCGCGUAGGCGGUUUUUUAAGUCUGAUGUGAAAGCCCACGGCUCAACCGUGGAGGGUCAUUGGAAACUGGAAAACUUGAGUGCAGAAGAGGAGAGUGGAAUUCCAUGUGUAGCGGUGAAAUGCUCAGAGAUAUGGAGGAACACCAGUGGCGAAGGCGACUUUCUGGUCUGUAACUGACGCUGAUGUGCGAAAGCGUGGGGAUCAAACAGGAUUAGAUACCCUGGUAGUCCACGCCGUAAACGAUGAGUGCUAAGUGUUAGGGGGUUUCCGCCCCUUAGUGCCGCAGCUAACGCAUUAAGCACUCCGCCUGGGGAGUACGACCGCAAGGUUGAAACUCAAAGGAAUUGACGGGGACCCGCACAAGCGGUGGAGCAUGUGGUUUAAUUCGAAGCAACGCGAAGAACCUUACCAAAUCUUGACAUCCUUUGACAACUCUAGAGAUAGAGCCUUCCCCUUCGGGGGACAAAGUGACAGGUGGUGCAUGGUUGUCGUCAGCUCGUGUCGUGAGAUGUUGGGUUAAGUCCCGCAACGAGCGCAACCCUUAAGCUUAGUUGCCAUCAUUAAGUUGGGCACUCUAAGUUGACUGCCGGUGACAAACCGGAGGAAGGUGGGGAUGACGUCAAAUCAUCAUGCCCCUUAUGAUUUGGGCUACACACGUGCUACAAUGGACAAUACAAAGGGCAGCGAAACCGCGAGGUCAAGCAAAUCCCAUAAAGUUGUUCUCAGUUCGGAUUGUAGUCUGCAACUCGACUACAUGAAGCUGGAAUCGCUAGUAAUCGUAGAUCAGCAUGCUACGGUGAAUACGUUCCCGGGUCU